RNAcentral lists this ribosomal RNA (109 nucleotides) under Sphingobacteriaceae bacterium. The record is from RNAcentral. Lineage: Bacteria; Pseudomonadati; Bacteroidota; Sphingobacteriia; Sphingobacteriales; Sphingobacteriaceae.
GGUGCCUAUAUCGGCGGUGUCCACCUCUUCCCAUUCCGAACAGAGAAGUUAAGCCCGCCAGAGCCGAUGGUACUGCCGUAAAAGGUGGGAGAGUAGGUCGGUGCCAUAC